Long non-coding RNA from Salvia miltiorrhiza (redroot sage), 751 nucleotides. RefSeq lists it as uncharacterized. The record is from RefSeq and is a predicted model, not a curated record. Lineage: Eukaryota; Viridiplantae; Streptophyta; Magnoliopsida; Lamiales; Lamiaceae. The transcript has 3 exons.
GGUGGAGAUCUAUAAAGAAUCUCCUUAGUGCAAAGAUUAAAGAAUUAAUCUUAACCAAACAAUCUGAACGGAUUAAGGGUCGAGAUUACACCCAUUUAAUAAUUAAUCCCGUUUUUUAAUUUCCUGAAUAAGUCAAAGAUAUUAUGAAAAAAUCACUGAAGGGUAUAUAUGCCAUUUUGUCUAUUCACUGAACUGUCUUUCCUAAAUUAACGUCUGUAAUUAAGGAAUUUACUCUCACCCCCACCCCACGACUUUUGCAAACCACCACGGACACACUUCGGAUACCCUACAGCAGAGGCGAUUCCUCUCCAACUACAACAGCGGCGCUUGGAAUUGGUCGGCGACUAUUCAGUUAUCCGGCGGCGAAGCUCUGGAUUUGGCCGUCUGAAACCGUCCCACAUCAAGAAUUGGGAACCGGCCUUUGCCUAAAUCUCUCGCAAAUGUUGCACUGACUUCCAAAUCACUUUCUUUUUCAUCUCAAUUGCAGACAUUCUCCCUCAAGCUGCAUUUGGUGUAUGGAAGAAUUUGAAUCCGUGAGCAAGACAAAAUGACUGGUUUAGUGAAAGUUAUCAAGGUGGGAUGGGUGAUCGUCCGAGAAAGGGAUAUGCAAGUAGCUCCAGAAUGAGUUGAACAAAUAUUCAGAGUGUUAAAGUAGAUAUUCGAUUACUUUUGUUCACUUAUUUAUAAUAUGCUCAUUCAUAAAAAAUUGUAAUAUAUUAGUAAUUUAAUUUAACUUAUUUUUCAGAACUUA